GAUGAACGCUGGCGGCGUGCUUAACACAUGCAAGUCGAACGAUGAAGCCCAGCUUGCUGGGUGGAUUAGUGGCGAACGGGUGAGUAACACGUGAGUAACCUGCCCUUAACUCUGGGAUAAGCCUGGGAAACUGGGUCUAAUACCGGAUAGGAGCGUCCACCGCAUGGAGGGUGUUGGAAAGAUUUAUCGGUUUUGGAUGGACUCGCGGCCUAUCAGCUUGUUGGUGAGGUAAUGGCUCACCAAGGCGACGACGGGUAGCCGGCCUGGGAGGGUGACCGGCCACACUGGGACUGAGACACGGCCCAGACUCCUACGGGAGGCAGCAGUGGGGAAUAUUGCACAAUGGGCGCAAGCCUGAUGCAGCGACGCCGCGUGAGGGAUGACGGCCUUCGGGUUGUAAACCUCUUUCAGUAGGGAAGAAGCGAAAGUGACGGUACCUGCAGAAGAAGCACCGGCUAACUACGUG
Molecule: ribosomal RNA, 466 nt
Filed under: uncultured bacterium
Lineage: Bacteria
Description: partial 16S ribosomal RNA
Rfam family: Bacterial small subunit ribosomal RNA
Source: RNAcentral